Molecule: ribosomal RNA, 253 nt
Filed under: uncultured bacterium
Lineage: Bacteria
Description: partial 16S ribosomal RNA
Rfam family: Bacterial small subunit ribosomal RNA
Source: RNAcentral
UACGAGUGCCCCAAGCGUUAUCCGGAUUUACUGGGCGUAAAGGGCGCGUAGGCGGCGUGACAAGUCACUUGUGAAAUCUCCGGGCUUAACUCGGAACUGCCAAGUGAUACUGUCGUGCUAGAGUGCAGAAGGGGCAAUCGGAAUUCUUGGUGUAGCGGUGAAAUGCGUAGAUAUCAAGAGGAACACCUGAGGUGAAGACGGGUUGCUGGGCUGACACUGACGCUGAAGCGCGAAAGCUAGGGGAGCAAACGGG